RNAcentral lists this ribosomal RNA (497 nucleotides) under uncultured bacterium. RNAcentral describes it as "partial 16S ribosomal RNA". It matches the Rfam family "Bacterial small subunit ribosomal RNA", at positions 28 to 507 of the family's 1533-position model. The record is from RNAcentral.
GAUGAACGCUGGCGGCGUGCCUAAUACAUGCAAGUCGAGCGAACAGACGAGGAGCUUGCUCCUCUGACGUUAGCGGCGGACGGGUGAGUAACACGUGGAUAACCUACCUAUAAGACUGGGAUAACUUCGGGAAACCGGAGCUAAUACCGGAUAAUAUAUUGAACCGCAUGGUUCAAUAGUGAAAGACGGUUUUGCUGUCACUUAUAGAUGGAUCCGCGCCGCAUUAGCUAGUUGGUAAGGUAACGGCUUACCAAGGCGACGAUGCGUAGCCGACCUGCGAGGGUGAUCGGCCACACUGGAACGGAGACACGGUCCAGACUCCUACGGGAGGCAGCAGUAGGGAAUCUUCCGCAAUGGGCGAAAGCCUGACGGAGCAACGCCGCGUGAGUGAUGAAGGUCUUCGGAUCGUAAAACUCUGUUAUUAGGGAAGAACAAAUGUGUAAGUAACUAUGCACGUCUUGACGGUACCUAAUCAGAAAGCCACGGCUAACUACGUG